Long non-coding RNA from Lagopus muta (rock ptarmigan), 8732 nucleotides. RefSeq lists it as uncharacterized. Lineage: Eukaryota; Metazoa; Chordata; Aves; Galliformes; Phasianidae. The record is from RefSeq and is a predicted model, not a curated record. The transcript is spliced from 2 exons.
UCCCUGCGCUGCACAGGGAAGAGAUUGCUGCCUGACAUUGCCCCGGCGUGCUGCCUGACAAUGGGUAAGGGAUUCCAGAGGGGAACACGGCACCUCCUGCAUACCACCAGCACACCCUGGGAGGGCAAUUCCUGCAGCGGGAGUCUGUGCAGUGCUAGAGAGAGUCGGUAACGAUUCCUUCAGCUUGCUUCAAAGUGAGCUCUCCAGGAGGGGCCCUGCUGCUUUUCAGGAGCUGUGAGCCCUGGAGCCUCAGGGACAUCUCCAGGGAGGUUGGUUUGGGGCAUAGAAAGUGAUGCCUCGGGCUGUACCUCUGCUGCUGAGCUGAGCUGUGCUUUCUGAGAAGCAGGGAGCUGCUGGCAAACAGCAGUGCUGCAGACAGACAGCUAUGUCCAAGAGCAGCUCUUCUGCACCAAGAGCUGGGGACUGGCCUGCAGCUGGCACAGGGAGAGCAGGGAAGGAAAGAGGUGUUAAAGGCUGUGUGGAAGAACUCCUCAGUGCUCUUCACACAGUAAGUUUGGCUGAAGGCAAGGCAGAUGCAGUACGUUGAGAGAUCACCUGAAGUUAGCAUAUCCCACUGCUUAUAGGAUCUUCUGGGAGUGUUCCCAUCAUUUUUCCAUCACAAAGGAGGAGAUCCUGCUCCAAGUCAGUGAUUCCCUGCUCCAGGCAGUGCAGGGUGGGAUCUGUGAGCACAGGUAGGCAGGAAAUGUGGGAACAGAGAAGCAGCUCCCAUCAGGGACGGCUGCAGGCAGCAGAGAUGCACAGGCUGUGGGAAGGAACUGCCAUGGGAGGGGGAUUCUGGCACCUCCUGGCUGCGCCCUGCCAUGCAGAUGCUUUCUCUGGAGCAGUUCUUCCCUGGUCUCUCCCACUCCCCCAAGCCAUAGGGUCUCAGGCAAGCAUCACCAGCACAGCAGCCAGAGCCCAGAAGAGAAGCUCCCACACUCUGUCUGUGUGUGCCCCUCUUCCCUUGACAGGAACCCUGUGGCAUGUCACUGUGAUCCACUUUGGACCGACUAAAGCAGUAGGGGAGGAGGGGAGGAUUUGGUCAUCAUUCAGACACCAGCCCAGUGGUCCUGCUGUGCAGCGGUGCCUGAAGGAACAAUGACCAAGUGUCCUCCUGAUACUGCAGUGUAAGGAGCUGGGAUACAGGGACACCCCAGCUUUAGGGUAUGCAGCAGUGUCUAUGGGGCAUCUUUCGGGGCUGUGUGCUGCUCUCCAGAAGUACGCAGCUUUCUCACUAGAUCUUUGUGUUGCCUAGGUGACCCACAAAGGACACACCUCAGUGCUAAGGCCAUGUAGAUGCUACUGGAUGGCUCUCUGUGUGCAGACAGAAAUGAGGCCUCUGUAUUCCUGGCUAGGAGGGAAGAGCUGAGGUCCUGCUCAGACAUCUCGAGGAAAGGACGAUUCUUUACACUGCACAUUGACCCAGAGUCUCUGCUGCACCCAGAACAAGGUCUCCAAGCCCAGCAGCAGCAGUUGUCCAACAGCAGCUCCAUCAAUGAGUUUCUCCUCCUGGUGCUUGCAGACACGCAGCAGCUGCAGCUCCUGCAUUUCUGGCUCUUGCUGGACAUCUGCCUGGCCGCCCUCCUGGCAACGGCCUCAUCAGCACAGCCGUAGCCUGCGACCACCACGUGCACACCCCAUGCACUUCUUCCUCCUCAACCUCGCCCUCCUGAACCUGGGCUGCAUCUCCACCACUCUCCCCAAAGCAAUGGCCAAUGUCCUUUGGGACUCCAGGGACAUCUCCUUUGCUGAAUGUGCUGCACAAGUCUUUUUUUUACUAUUCUUUUUUGAUGCAGAAUACUUCCUUCUCACUGUCAUGGCCUACGACCACUACGUUUCCAUCUGCAAGCCCCUGCACUACAACAUCCUGCUGGGCAGCAGAGCUUGUUGCCACCAUGGCUGCAGCUGCCUGGGGCAGUGGGUUUCUUUAUGCUCUGUUGCACACAGCCAAUACAUUCUCAAUACCAUUCUGUAAAAGCAAUGCCAGUUCUGUGAAAUCGCCCAGAUCCUCAAGCCCUCCUGCUCAGAGUCAGACAAUCUCAGGGAAGCUGGGAUUAUUGAUUUUAGCCUUUGUUUAAUCUUCGUGUGCUUUGUUUUCAUUGUGCUGUCCUAUCUGCAGAUCUUCAGGGCCUGCUGAGGAUGCCCUCAGAGCAGGGAUGGCACAGAGCCUUCUCCACAUGCCUUUCACCUGGCUGUCUUGCUCUUUGUCAGCACUCUCAUGUUCGCCUAUCUCAAACCCCCCUCCAUUUCAUCCCCAUCUCUUGACCUGUUGGUUGCAGUUCUGUACUCAGUGGUGCCUCCAGCAGUGAACCCCCUCAUCUACAGCAUGAGGAACCAGGAGCUCAAAAACACAGUGAGGAAAUUCAGAGGAAUUCCAUGGUGUAUCCAAAAUUAUUAGAACAAUCUUUUUACUUUCAUUACUAUUUCCUCAUACUUGGAUUAAGAUUUAAAUACUUUUAUAUUCAAAUUCUUAGCCUCCUAUCUGUUCAUUUUUUUUUACCUAGUCAUGUCAUUACAAGUCCAACUUGAAAACUAGGACUCUGCGGUCCUAACAAAGUUCAAAAAGUUCAAGUGCAAUGUGUUGCCUUGGGCUGGGGCAAACGUAGAGAUAUGUGCAGAUUGAGAGAUUUCACUGAGAGCAACCCUACUGAGAAGGACUUCUGUCUGCCAGAGUUCUGGUGGAUGAAAAGCUGGAUGUGAGCCAGCAGUGCGUGCUUGUAGCCCUGAAGGCCAACUCAUCUGGGCUGCAUCAACAGAGGGGUGACCAGCAGGACGAGGGAGAUGAUUGUCCCUCUCUACAAAAACAACCAGAGGCCUGGAUGUCCCACCCCUGGAGAAGUUUGGGGUCAGGUUGGAUGGGGCCCUGGGUAACCUGAUGUAGUUUGAGCUACACUACCUUUAAGGUCUCUUCCAACCCUAAACAUCCUAUGAUUCUAUAAUUCUAUGAUCUUGUGUACCUGCAGAACCAGGCUUCCUGUGCAGAUGAACACAAUGAAGAAGCCAGCAGAAAUUCUUUUGUCUCAGCUCCCAUGUCUCCCUUGUCCUCUUGAGCAACCCGCAUAUGUGGGAGAGUUUCAAGGAGCCAGGAAACCAUCUGCCACAUGGAGCAGCAGACCUGGUGCCCCUGUGGUCUGCCCCUCAAUGCCGGCUGGGCUCUUCCUCUCUGCUGCCUUUGAGUUGGGGCUGUUGCUUUCCUGAAACCAUGGCCAUGAGCAGCAGCUGAAUGUGGUCUUUUGAGCACUGCUCUCCCUCCACUUCCUUGCUCUCCUGUUGUGCCUCUCCAUUCCUGUUAGUCUUCAGUUCUCAAUUUACUUGAUAGCAGUCCUGCUGUCUCUACAGUAGCAUACCUAACUAAAGGCCUGCUCAGGGCAGAGCCAGAAUCCAGGCCUCUUUCAAAGCUGGUGUCAGCAGUGCACACAAGGAGCUGCUCUCUGCUCUUUUGUUGUCUGGGGCUCUCCAUGAGCUGAAGUACACAGGCUUACAGUCCCACAGUGAUCUGCUAGUGACCAGUCACUGGACCCAGGGCUCCCUUCUCAGUGGCACUUGUUCAAGCAGACAACAAAUAUUUGUUGACUUAUCUGGAGCGUGAUCCAGUACAGACUUUUUGAAGCCCUGUGGGUCAGAUCUGGUUCAGCACUCAAGUGCCCUUUGUGACAUUAGAGGCACCCCACGCUCCUGCCAAGCACUGUCCUUGGCUGCAGAGCCUUUAGCACUAGAUGCAAGAUUAGAUUAGAUUAGAUUAGAUUAGAUUAGAUUAGAUGGCAAGAGGCAGCAGAGAUCUCCAUCCAUCUGUGUCUGCUGCCCACCCUGAGCAGCAUAACCUGGGCAGGGUCACCACAGAUCCAUCACUUCAGAGUAGUACCACCAGAUCAGGGCCUUGUGGGGAACACGGGGAGGGAACCAGGAGCAGCCAGCCAGGCCAGCAUGGACAAGCUGCCCUGGACAAGGCUCUCCAGGAGCAGGGAUGGCUCUGGAGAAGAGCAAGAGAGCAUUUCUGUGCCUUCAGGGAGGGACAGGUGAGAAAGAGAAAGCUAUUUCUGCAGGCAUUUGCUGGGGGCAGGCUGUGCUGGGCCAGGACUCUUGUGCUAGGCUGAGAAGAGGAUGGCACUGGCACAGGCAGUCUGUGCUGGGGGUCUUCUGGGCCUGGAGCUUCACCGACCUCUGUUUCCCCAGGCCACAGCCCCAGCCUAACAGCUGCUGUGCCUUCAGAGCUUCUGGGCUGUGGUGGCAUUGCAUACCCAGCGGUGGGCACUGCCACUGGUCUGCUGGGCUGAGCUGGGUUGGGAAGAGGGCAGGAGGUGGGGAGAGCUGGGGAAGAACCGGGAUGUUCCCAAUAGAGGGAAACACCACCAUUAGCUGAGCUGAGACAGUGUGCAGGGUGAGAAUUUGCAGCAGGGCUUUGUGGAGCAGAUUCAGGGAUUAGGGAAAGAGCCGAGAUUUGCAGAUGCAGGAGAGAGGAGGUCAGUCUGCAGAGGUCACUAACAGCCUUACACAACCAAGUCAGUUUUCUUCUGACUGAGAUACUUUUGGGACUGAGACUUAGAAAAUAACCAAGGUUGAGACAAGGCAUAAUAUGCAAUAUCCUAUAAAGUUUUUCAGGAACAUUUCAGGAACAUUAGUUUCUUCCCAAAAUCAGAAAAUAAAUUAUUUUAAAAAAAACAACAGGAGAGCAUUAUAAUGAUAUAUUAAUGACAAAAUAAAACUUAGCUCUGAUUGCCAUCAACAGGAACUAAGAACAGCUGUGAGCAAGUUCUGAGAUUCAUUUCUUUGAAAUGAUAAUUCUGAACUCGCAGUUAUCCUUCCUCAAAUUGGAUGCUUCUCUGGGAGAGAUUGGUGUGCAGGAGUUGCUCUGGUUGGUACACUUCUCCAGUCAAUAAACAAAAAGCUUGGGCUUCUACUCAAACAAAUGAGGGGUGAGGAGAGACUCCCUUGGGAAGUACAAACAUAGGACCUGUGACCAAAUUGUGAACAGCUCUACCAAAGGGGAAGAUUUCAAUUAGACAUUUUGGAAUACACCUUGCUCAGACUUGCAAAACUGAUGUGGUGUUUCAGGAAAACUUACCAAUAGCUUCCAUGCUUACUCCUCGUUUUCACAAAUGCAGCGUUUCCUUUGGAAAUUAAUUUGGACAAAAAUAAAGAAAACCAAAAGCCUGUUUUCCUGCGCUUCUGUAAAUCUGAGCCCAGAAAAAAAGAAAAAAUAAGUAGAUAAAGUUCUUAUGGAAAUGAGACAAGAUUGUCAUUCUGGUGCUGACCUCCCCGUCAUAUGCAUGGAUAAUGCAGAGAACAGGCUGCAGGUGUUUCAGCAGAACAGCUGCACUUACUCCUCGAUGCCAACAACCACGGUAAAUCUAACAAACCAUGCAAAAUCAAUUCAUGCUACAAAGCAACUGAAGGUGAGAAAGCUACUGUGAGACUUUUCACUUCUUGAACCUGCACUUGGCCAUCACAAUGUAGCAUCAAACUAUCUUCUGAGACUUUGGAGGAAAGUUUUGUGUGGCAUGUGACUACUUUGACUACACAGUUAUGAUUGAGCCUGAAACAUCAUUUCAUGUAAGCAGUUCAGCAAAACCUGUACGCUACUGUCUGCACAGAGCUCUUCUGAGUUCCUCCCACCCCUCCCCUCACUGUCCAUUAUUUCUACAGGCCAUUUUUUUCUGCAGAGAGCAGCAUAGCAUUUUUACUUUAUAGUUCCAGUGUUCUUUAUGUGGCUAAUGGAGAACUCUGCAAUGUAGAAUGAAGUAAUGGGAACUUCAUUCAACUGGCUGAUUUAAUAGUUCAACCCUCCACAUCAGACCUUGCUCUCUCCAGAAAAACCUUUGUGUAUUUGUCAUUUACUCAUAUUGUUCCACUUCAAGUGUGGUAGCCAGCAUUUCAGAAAUAACAAAGAGAAAAAAAAUGCACUGAAGUUUUUCUCUUGCAAAAGAUUUUUAUUUUACAGUAUUGAUAGAAGCAAGCAAGAGCCUUGAAACCAUUACUGCAAUGAAAAUGCGACCCCAAGUCUGCUCCUCAGCUUGCUACCUUGCUCACUGUAAGGGCAAGAAUGCUUUCAACAUUUUUAGUAAUAUACUUAAGGUUAGAAACUCACUAGUGAGCACAUAGAGAAGGAAGGCAGUGUACAGAGAACAGCAAUCCCAGCCUUGAGAACGCUCCGCUGCAACAGACCACUGUGGACACUUCUGUUUUAUCAUCAAAACUGAAACUAGAACUGCAUCAUGAAUGGAAUUUAUUACCAUGGGCAAAGUAUGACAUUGGUGUAAAUUAUAAAUGAACCAGCAGAAAUAAGUGUUGGUCCCUGUAAUUUCUGUAGCUAAAGCUAGUUUAUCAUGGAAGAUUUACAUACUGCUAAAAUCCUUGCAAAGUUGUAGUAUUCAUUCUUUCUAAUAAAAAUUUGUGGAACGAGAUAUAUAUUGAGCUCCAUGAGGUCUUUGCUUGCAGUAAGACAGCCUCGUUAAUAAAUAACCAAAUUAACUUUCGAAAGCAUCAGUUGAGCAUCAAAGCAAAAGCCUGAGAAAUAACUGAAACCCACCUCAAACACAAAACCGUUUUUCCCUCUGAAUUAGCAAGCGCAUGUAAGUCAGCUCCGACUGGCUUCCAGUGAGGGUUUCCCAAGUGUCAUGGCUGGAGGCAAGGAUACGGCCUGUGUUUCUGCAACACUACUAUCUGAGACAUAUCUUUCAAGGCUCCACACCCCAAGACUGACUGUUUAAAAUAAAAUCUGUAAUUCCUUACAACUACAAUGUACUUCUGCGAGAAUCCUUCUUUGGUUUUUUUUUUGUUUUUUUUGUUUUUUUUUUUUUUGGCUCAAAGCUUGCUUCCUGAGGUAUUUUGUGUGAUAAAACUCUGAUCGAUUUGUUGAGGAGGCAAGUGAUGGGUGCUAACCGUGUGACAAUCGAUAUCGCUUUGGGAACAUUUGAAAGCCCCUUCCUCCAGAGCUGCUUGCCUCUGGAAGAGAGCACUCGGGAGUGUUCACUGGCUGAAGAUCUGGCCUGUGACUAAACAGCUCCAGCUAGGUAUGGGAAAACUGGGGAAUGAUACCAUUGUGUCCCAUGAAAAACAGGAUGCAGAUGGGCAUCCCUGCUCCCUCUUAUCUGCUGGCAAGGCCCGGAAGAACAAAGGAGUUUCUGCUGAGAUCCCAGAGCCAGAAGCUGCCACUCCAAGGAGAGCUGACUCAACCACUGUGGAUUUGAGCUGUCACUCCAAAGACAGCUGACUCGGCUGCUUUGAAACCAUUGAAAAGGGGCCAUCAUUGCCACGGUCGUUGUCAUCGCCGUCAUCAACAGACCAACUCUGUCUGGCCACCCACCCUACUGAAGAUCAAUGACUGAACUACAAACCACGCUGGAUCCAUGGUGGUGAUCAUCUCCCUCUUGCUUCCUAUAAAGACUCCUUGCUUCUUCUUUUCUUCUUUCCUAUCUUUUCUAUCGCCCUCCUUCCCUUCCCCAUUACUCUAAUUCAUAAUAGUGUCCGUCCUCCCCUUCCCCAUUUCCCUAAUGAAGAUUUGUAAUAAACUGGUCGGACCAACAUUUGAACUGUUGUUUCACACCGAGUAGAUAGACAACAAAAGAACCUCCUCUCCCUCCUAUAGAUUGGAGUGAGACAACUUCUUGAGCAGGGUCUUGACAGGAAGAAGAAGAAAUGCUGCCAUUAAGCAGAGACAGAAAGGGGCAGAGGCAGUGGCCUGCCCUCUCCCACCUGCGUGCCUCAGAACUGGGAAGUUACCCAGCUCCCUGGGGUGGGAGCAUAAACCUACUUUCAUAGUUCCAGCAUCGAACAGAAUCCCUUGGGAGAACAAGACUGAGGGCUUCCAUGGCUCUGCCCAAGCUGAGGUGGGCAGACAAGACAACAGCAAAAGAGGAGAACUCACAUCCAGUUACACUUCUGGUUUCUCUUCCCUAGACCAAGUUAGUGCUCCAAGAUCCUUCCUAUCUAGCCAUCAACUCAAGGUUAAAAUGUGGCUCCCCGUCCUUCCAUAUGUCUUGCUCAUUUCUUCCUGUGGACAGGACCUCUACCCUGGCAGCACCCUGAGCAUGACACUAAGUGCUCCAGGCACACAGGUUUCCAAGUGAUGCCUAGCUUAUCUAAUGUGCACCACUUAACACACUCCUCCCUGUCACCACAAAUAUACCAUCAAAAUCUUAAGCAUCUGGCUUGAUUACUGGCAAAUCUACAUUUCUGGUCUUGACUGUCUGCUCUCUCCAUUUUUUAUAUUGCUGACCAAAUAAUUUUCUCAGGCCAAGACUUUGAAUCUUCCACGCUUCUCUUUGCGUCACUAGGUAUGGAUUCCUUGAGAUUAUUAUUAUUUUUUUUAUUCCUUUCUCUACAUGCAUAAAAGUUCAUUCUCAGCAGAACUUUUCCUAACAGAUGGUUUGGAAAAAAGGGAGACAGAAGUAUAGAGAAUGAAUGAAGGACCACUCAGUGCCCAUCUAGAAUCAUCUUCACUGAGUCAGUCUGCCCUCCAGCAGGUCUGCAUGGAUGAAAGAAGGCAACCGAGCUUCUCCAGCAGCUCUGCAACUGUUGGUUUCAAUCUAUGUACCUUUAACUUCUCCAAAUCCCUACUAUUGUUCCUCUAACUUAAAGCCUGUCCAUCACUUUACCCAAAUCCUUACUCCCUCGCUGCCAGUCCCACAUAUUCCCAACACCCCUGCUCUUUUCCAAGUCUCUGGUGCUUUGGAAUAGGCAGAGCCUCAAACUAAGGCAAAAAAAAAAAAGAAAAAAAAAAAAAAAGAAAGAAA